GGGGCUGAAGCACAUAGGCUGUGUGCCUGAUUGUCGAUCAGGAUGGAGCGGGUUCGAAUCCCGUCAGUCCCGCCA
This 75-nucleotide transfer RNA is filed under the name Bacteroidota bacterium. RNAcentral's name for it is "Bacteroidetes bacterium (activated sludge metagenome) tRNA-Asp". It matches the Rfam family "tRNA". From Rfam's summary of the family: Transfer RNA (tRNA) molecules are approximately 80 nucleotides in length. Their secondary structure includes four short double-helical elements and three loops (D, anti-codon, and T loops). Further hydrogen bonds mediate the characteristic L-shaped molecular structure. tRNAs have two regions of fundamental functional importance: the anti-codon, which is responsible for specific mRNA codon recognition, and the 3' end, to which the tRNAs corresponding amino acid is attached (by aminoacyl-tRNA synthetases). tRNAs cope with the degeneracy of the genetic code in two manners: having more than one tRNA (with a specific anti-codon) for a particular amino acid; and 'wobble' base-pairing, i.e. permitting non-standard base-pairing at the 3rd anti-codon position. The record is from RNAcentral. Lineage: Bacteria; Pseudomonadati; Bacteroidota. RNAcentral also lists the same sequence under 1 other name.